GGCUGGUCCAGUGGUAGCAGGUUAUCAGAACUUACCAACAUUAGUAUCAUUAAAGUUGGUAUACAACCCCCUUCACUGCUAAAUUUGACUGGCUUAA
Gorilla gorilla gorilla (western lowland gorilla) is the source of this 97-nucleotide non-coding RNA. It matches the Rfam family "Y RNA". Rfam says of the family: Y RNAs are components of the Ro ribonucleoprotein particle (Ro RNP), in association with Ro60 and La proteins. The Y RNAs and Ro60 and La proteins are well conserved, but the function of the Ro RNP is not known. In humans the RNA component can be one of four small RNAs -- hY1, hY3, hY4 and hY5. NCBI's taxonomy places the organism in Eukaryota, Metazoa, Chordata, Mammalia, Primates, Hominidae. The record is from Rfam.